UGGGGGACAACAUUUGGAAACAGAUGCUAAUACCGCAUAACAGCGUUGUUCGCAUGAACAACGCUUAAAAGAUGGCUUCUCGCUAUCACUUCUGGAUGGACCUGCGGUGCAUUAGCUUGUUGGUGGGGUAACGGCCUACCAAGGCGAUGAUGCAUAGCCGAGUUGAGAGACUGAUCGGCCACAAUGGGACUGAGACACGGCCCAUACUCCUACGGGAGGCAGCAGUAGGGAAUCUUCCACAAUGGGCGCAAGCCUGAUGGAGCAACACCGUGUGAGUGAAGAAGGGUUUCGGCUCGUAAAGCUCUGUUGUUAAAGAAGAACACGUAUGAGAGUAACUGUUCAUACGUUGACGGUAUUUAACCAGAAAGUCACGGCUAACUACGUGCCAGCAGCCGCGGUAAUACGUAGGUGGCAAGCGUUAUCCGGAUUUAUUGGGCGUAAAGAGAGUGUAGGCGGUUUUCUAAGUCUGAUGUGAAAGCCUUCGGCUUAACCGGAGAAGUGCAUCGGAAACUGGAUAACUUGAGUGCAGAAGAGGGUAGUGGAACUCCAUGUGUAGCGGUGGAAUGCGUAGAUAUAUGGAAGAACACCAGUGGCGAAGGCGGCUACCUGGUCUGCAACUGACGCUGAGACUCGAAAGCAUGGGUAGCGAACAGGAUUAGAUACCCU
This 666-nucleotide ribosomal RNA is filed under the name uncultured bacterium. Its description in RNAcentral is "bacterial SSU rRNA". It matches the Rfam family "Bacterial small subunit ribosomal RNA", at positions 137 to 788 of the family's 1533-position model. The record is from RNAcentral.